UAACCGGCGAUACCCGAAUGGGGAAACCCAGUGUGAUUCGUCACACUAUCAUUAACUGAAUCCAUAGGUUAAUGAGGCGAACCGGGGGAACUGAAACAUCUAAGUACCCCGAGGAAAAGAAAUCAACCGAGAUUCCCCCAGUAGCGGCGAGCGAACGGGGAGGAGCCCAGAGCCUGAAUCAGCAUGUGUGUUAGUGGAAGCGUCUGGAAAGGCGCGCGAUACAGGGUGACAGCCCCGUACACAAAAGCGCAUGUGUUGUGAGCUCGAUGAGUAGGGCGGGACACGUGGUAUCCUGUCUGAAUAUGGGGGGACCAUCCUCCAAGGCUAAAUACUCCUGACUGACCGAUAGUGAACCAGUACCGUGAGGGAAAGGCGAAAAGAACCCCGGCGAGGGGAGUGAAAAAGAACCUGAAACCGUGUACGUACAAGCAGUGGGAGCACAGGUUUACCUGUGUGACUGCGUACCUUUUGUAUAAUGGGUCAGCGACUUAUAUUCUGUAGCAAGGUUAACCGAAUAGGGGAGCCGGAGGGAAACCGAGUCUUAAUUGGGCGUUAAGUUGCAGGGUAUAGACCCGAAACCCGGUGAUCUAGCCAUGGGCAGGUUGAAGGUUGGGUAACACUAACUGGAGGACCGAACCGACUAAUGUUGAAAAAUUAGCGGAUGACCUGUGGCUGGGGGUGAAAGGCCAAUCAAACCGGGAGAUAGCUGGUUCUCCCCGAAAGCUAUUUAGGUAGCGCCUCGUGAAUUCAUCUCCGGGGGUAGAGCACUGUUUCGGCUAGGGGGCCAUCCCGGCUUACCAACCCGAUGCAAACUGCGAAUACCGGAGAAUGUUAUCACGGGAGACACACGGCGGGUGCUAACGUCCGUCGUGAAGAGGGAAACAACCCAGACCGCCAGCUAAGGUCCCAAAGUCAUGGUUAAGUGGGAAACGAUGUGGGAAGGCCCAGACAGCCAGGAUGUUGGCUUAGAAGCAGCCAUCAUUUAAAGAAAGCGUAAUAGCUCACUGGUCGAGUCGGCCUGCGCGGAAGAUGUAACGGGGCUAAACCAUGCACCGAAGCUGCGGCAGCGACGCUUAUGCGUUGUUGGGUAGGGGAGCGUUCUGUAAGCCUGUGAAGGUGUGUCGUGAGGCAUGCUGGAGGUAUCAGAAGUGCGAAUGCUGACAUAAGUAACGAUAAAGCGGGUGAAAAGCCCGCUCGCCGGAAGACCAAGGGUUCCUGUCCAACGUUAAUCGGGGCAGGGUGAGUCGACCCCUAAGGCGAGGCCGAAAGGCGUAGUCGAUGGGAAACGGGUUAAUAUUCCCGUACUUGGUGUUACUGCGAAGGGGGGACGGAGAAGGCUAUGUUGGCCGGGCGACGGUUGUCCCGGUUUAAGCGUGUAGGUGUGUGUUCCAGGUAAAUCCGGUUCACUUUAACACUGAGGCGUGAUGACGAGGCACUACGGUGCUGAAGCAACAAAUGCCCUGCUUCCAGGAAAAGCCUCUAAGCAUCAGGUAACAUCAAAUCGUACCCCAAACCGACACAGGUGGUCAGGUAGAGAAUACCAAGGCGCUUGAGAGAACUCGGGUGAAGGAACUAGGCAAAAUGGUGCCGUAACUUCGGGAGAAGGCACGCUGACACGUAGGUGAAGUGAUUUACUCAUGGAGCUGAAGUCAGUCGAAGAUACCAGCUGGCUGCAACUGUUUAUUAAAAACACAGCACUGUGCAAACACGAAAGUGGACGUAUACGGUGUGACGCCUGCCCGGUGCCGGAAGGUUAAUUGAUGGGGUCAGCGCAAGCGAAGCUCCUGAUCGAAGCCCCGGUAAACGGCGGCCGUAACUAUAACGGUCCUAAGGUAGCGAAAUUCCUUGUCGGGUAAGUUCCGACCUGCACGAAUGGCGUAAUGAUGGCCAGGCUGUCUCCACCCGAGACUCAGUGAAAUUGAACUCGCUGUGAAGAUGCAGUGUACCCGCGGCAAGACGGAAAGACCCCGUGAACCUUUACUAUAGCUUGACACUGAACAUUGAGCCUUGAUGUGUAG
This 2018-nucleotide ribosomal RNA is filed under the name Salmonella enterica subsp. enterica serovar Paratyphi B var. L(+) tartrate +. RNAcentral's name for it is "partial 23S ribosomal RNA". It matches the Rfam family "Bacterial large subunit ribosomal RNA", at positions 101 to 2141 of the family's 2925-position model. The record is from RNAcentral. Lineage: Bacteria; Pseudomonadati; Pseudomonadota; Gammaproteobacteria; Enterobacterales; Enterobacteriaceae.